UAUCUCAGAGCAAAAUAAGAUGUGUACAAUAGGUCUAGCAUCAGGUUACCCUAAAUUACCCAAUCCUGACAUGGGGAGGUAAUGACAAUAAAUAACAAUACUAGGCUUAUCGAGUCUGGUAAUUGGAAUGAGUACAAUCUAAAUCCCUUAACGAGGAUCCAUUGGAGGGCAAGUUUGGUGCCAGCAACUGCGGUAAUUCCAACUCCAAUAUUGUAUAUUUAAGUUGUUGCAGUUAAAAAUCUCAUAGUUGGAUCUUGGGUUGUAAAGGUCGGUCCGCCUACUCGAUGUGCACCUGCCCUUCUAUCCCUUUCUCCAAUGGCGUGCUCCUAGCCUUAAUUGGCUGGGUCACAGUUCCGACGUUGUUACUUUGAAAAAAUUAGAGUGCUCAAAGCAAGCUUAUGCUCUGAAUACAUUAGCAUGGAAUAACGCUAUAGGAGUCUGGUCCUAUUGUGUUGGCCUUCGGGACUAGAGUAAUGAUUAAUAGGGACUGUCGAGGGAAUUCAUAUUUCAUUGUCAGAGGUGAAAUUAUUGGAUUUAUGAAAGAUGAACCACUGCGAAAUAAUUUUCCAAGGAUGUUUUCAUUAAUCAAGAAUGAAAGUUGGGGGAUCGAAGACGAUCAUAUACCGUCCUAGUCUCAACCAUAAACGAUGUCGACCAGGGAUCGACGGAUGUUUCUCUAAGGACUCUGCCAACACCUUCUAAGAAAUCAAAGUGUUUGGGUUCCAGGGGGAGUAUGGUCGCAAGGAUGAAACUUAAAGGCCAUAUUAAAAAAUCUCUUGGUCGCCCAACCUCAGCCAAGCCGUAUUAAAA
Molecule: non-coding RNA, 810 nt
Organism: Picea glauca (white spruce)
Lineage: Eukaryota; Viridiplantae; Streptophyta; Pinopsida; Pinales; Pinaceae
Source: Rfam